GUCAGAGUCAGAGACAAAGUUCAGGAUUUAUAUUCUUAUCUUAUAAAUUUAUUUGUUGUUAUAUUUCAUGCUGUUAAGCUGAUUUGAAGCCAGAUCCAGCCAUCAUAACCACACAAUAUGCAAGUUUUUCUGGUUUUUCUUGUGCAGUGUUAACCUGUCAUCAAUCUCAGGAUCAUCGCUUGGAUGAAAAGCAUCCCAUUACAUUGGAAUGCAAUCGAAUACAUUGUCAAUCGAGUUAUGGAUAUCUCUUUUUCUCCUUUCUCUAAAUGUCCUCGUGUACGCCCGUGUCGAUGUGGGUGUAUUCACGAGGACACCCUUUUUACCCUAUACCGUCUGGUGGAAUUUAACUCUUCAGCGGAUGGAUGGAGCAACUGUAGAUGGCUGGCUGUAUUUCCCAGGCAUAAAGCAGACGGAUGUUCCACCACCGAAUAGCGGAGCUCGUGACAGUCCAUACGGGUGGGCAAUUCCACCUACAUAAACCAGUUGGUUUCUUUAUGUCGAGGGCGAUCGGUUGACAGUUAAGGGGAAAGAUGAUGGUAGUACCGUAUAUUUACCAAGGUAAAAUCAUUGGGCUGCUGGCCUCGUUUUUAUCAGCUCUUGCAAACAGCACGCCAUGCAGAUUGUCACUCUUUGCUGUUCUUCGUCGUUGAGAUGAAGACAUGAAGUGAAAGGCAC
Daphnia pulex (common water flea) is the source of this 675-nucleotide long non-coding RNA. RefSeq lists it as uncharacterized. The record is from RefSeq and is a predicted model, not a curated record. Lineage: Eukaryota; Metazoa; Arthropoda; Branchiopoda; Diplostraca; Daphniidae. The transcript has 4 exons.